This 746-nucleotide long non-coding RNA is filed under the name Manihot esculenta (cassava). Its description in RNAcentral is "long non-coding RNA (MESC_LNC010862)". The record is from RNAcentral. Lineage: Eukaryota; Viridiplantae; Streptophyta; Magnoliopsida; Malpighiales; Euphorbiaceae.
CGGUUGCCAUUUUUAUUAAAUCAAUUUUUCGGUUUUUUAUUUCAGUUCGGUUCGGAACCAAAUCGAUCAAAUGCUCUCCCCUAGCCUUUAGAAACUGGCUUAUAACACUCACAACAAAUGCAAUAUUUGCACAUGCCAUUGUGAGAUAAUUUAAUUUUCUAACCAAAUGUUGAUAUAUUUGCACAUGCCAUUGUGAGAUAAUUUAAUUUUCUAACCAAAUGUUGAUAUCUACUAAGGUCUUCUAAUGGCUCCUCCUUGACCAGGAACAUAUUUAACAUUUGAAUCCAUAGGGGUUUUUACAAGUUUGCAGUUUAACAUACUUGUUUCCUCGAAUAUAUCUACAGCAUAUUCCCUCUACGAAAUCGAUAUGCCAAAUUUAGUGUGCUACCUCAAUCCUAAAAAAUAUUUCAAUUUUCCUAGAUCCUUGAUCUAAAAAUGAUUGAAUAAAGUGUUGCUUGAGUUGAGAAAUUUCAUCAUGGUCAUUGCUUGUUAUGAUGAUGUCAUAAACAUAGACCACCAAGAAAAUGUUUUUACUAUAUACUAUGAUGUAAAAACACCUAAUGGUCAGCCUCACUUUGGCACAUUUUGAAUUGUUGGAUCACUAUGUGGAAUCAUCCAAACCAUGCUCUCAGGGACUGUUUUUAAACCAUAUAUUGACCAUUUUAGGCAGCAUAGCAAGUUAGACUCCUCUUGAGCAACAAACCCUGGUGGUUCUUUCAUAUACGCCUCUUCAGCAAACUUAGCAA